RNAcentral lists this ribozyme (69 nucleotides) under unclassified sequences. Its description in RNAcentral is "HDV ribozyme from F. prausnitzii". It matches the Rfam family "HDV ribozyme from F. prausnitzii". The record is from RNAcentral.
GCCGUCCAGAUAUGCUGCCUCUACGUGGCGGAUGGCAGGCAACGGAUUUCUAUCCGGCUAAAAGCGGAA